Serinus canaria (Common canary) is the source of this 4494-nucleotide long non-coding RNA. RefSeq lists it as uncharacterized. The transcript is spliced from 4 exons. The record is from RefSeq and is a predicted model, not a curated record. Lineage: Eukaryota; Metazoa; Chordata; Aves; Passeriformes; Fringillidae.
CCGGGAGGGCCGGGGCGGGCCCGGCCUGGGGCGCUCGGGCCCUCGGCCCUGAGGGGGGCCGGGCCGGCUCUGGAUCAGCGGGAGGAUGUGCCGGGAAUCGAAUUUGCUUCGGAAGGCACCGCCAAGCGCAUCUAAAUUCUUGCUUUCCGAUUCUGCAGCAAAGAACACGUCUGACUCCUCGGCCUCAGGGACAUUGUCAGUACUUUCCGUAGUGCUGUCCGGGAAUGGGAACAGCUGGUGGAGCUCUGGCAAAACACCUGGAGACCAGCCCUCUGCUUCCCAGAGAUAGUGCUUUAGGAAAGCCCCUCCAGCCUGGGAAGGAGCUUUUGGCUCCAGACACGUUCCCAGUGCCCAGGAGCAGCAGGACCUGUGCUGUUCCCAGCAGGACAGGAAAAACCACUUAACUCAUCCCAUCUUUGCCCAAAGCUUUGGUGUUUGUGCAGCCAAACCCAACGGGCUCCAGCCUGCACUGGAGGGCCCCUGGUCCUGCCCGUGGUGUGGGAUGCUGGAAUUGCCUCCCUGGAUGUGCACUGAGCUCUUGCUGCAGGGAACUGCCAGGACUUAAUGGUGGUGAGUUCAUGUUCUUCUCACUGGGGAAUUGGAAAUAAUUAUUAAUUAGUAAUUGCAGAAAUGUUUUCUGAAACCUUUCCUCUUUGCUGGUAGAUCUUCUCUUUCUGCCUUGGAAAUUACAGCUGUUCCCUGCUGUCCUUUGCCCUGCCUGAAUUCCCUGCAGCUCCACUGGGAAAACCUGGGAUAAAUCAGAGGGAACAGAGGUGACAUUUUUAGCUGAAAACCUGGGGCAGUUGAGAGGGGACACAAGAACUGUUUGUGUAGGAAAAUGAGAGGGGAUGUCAAGGGGAGCAAGGUGGCAUUUUUGAGGGAAAAGCUGAGGUGAUGAUUAGGGGAGAGAAUGCAAAUUUUUGGAGUAGAAAAGAGCUAAUCAGUAUUGUACUGGAAGGAAAAUUUUGGGGGGUAAAACAACACAGUCUGUAAGGGACAGAAUGAAUAUAUUGGAGCAAAAAUGAGGUAGUCAUUUUUAAGUAAGGAAAAUUUUGGAGACAAAACGUGACAAAAUCUCGAGUAGAGAAUGAACACACUGAGGAAAAAAUGAGGUGAUGAGUGCUGAGCAUGUAGGGAAAAUCUGGGGGCUAAAUCUGAAAUAAUCUCUAGGGGAGAGCAUGAACAUACUGAGGUGAUGUGAGGGAAUCAGCUGUGGGCAGAAUGGGGAUAUUUUGAGGGGCAAAAAUAAUAUUAAAUAAUCUGUAGGGAUGAGAAUGAACAUUUUGAGGUAAAAAUGAGGUCAUCAAUAGUAGAUGGAGAAUUUUGGGAUCAAUAAUGAGAGAAGCUACAUGGUAGAAAAUAUAAUGAAGGGAAAAUGAGGGAAUCAGUAGUGGACAGGUAGAGGAAUAACAAAAUAAUCUAAAGGUUGAGAAUAAAUAUUUUAAGGUAAAAUGAGGUAGUACAUUUGGGACAGGUAAGGAAAAUUUUGGGAGUAGAAGUGGAGUAAAUCUUGAGGGAGAGUGAACACACAUAAACUGAGGCAGUCACUAGGCAAGGAAAUUUUGGGGGUAAAACUUGGGAAGAUCUGUAGGGCAGAGAAUGAACAUCUUGAGGGGAAAAUGAAGUGAUCAGGAGUGGACCAGCUAGGGAGAAUUUGGGGGGCAAACCCUGAGCUAAUUUUUUAAGAAGAAAUGUUUUUGGGGAAAACUGAUGUGAUGUGUAGGGAACACAGUCUGGGGAUAAGACAGACUUAACUUGUGUGGUUUUGGUUUUACAAUCUAGGGGACAAAAUAGGCAUUUUGGUAAUAAAAUCUGAGCUAAUCUGUGGGUGAAAAAAUUAAUAUUUUCUGGUAAAAAUGAGGUAAUCAGUACUGGGCAGGUAGGGAAAAUUGAGGGGGUAAAAUGUGAGAUUAUCUUUUGGAAAGAGCAGGAAGAUCCUGAGGUAAAAUUGCUGUGGACAGGUGGGUAAAUUUGGGGGGUAAAACUUGAGGGAUUUGCCAUGGUAGAAAAUGAAAAGGACUAUUUUGAGGUAAAAAUGAGGUACCCAGUGGUGGAGAGGUAGAGAAAAUUUCAGGGGUAAAAUCUGAGGUGAUCUGUAGCAGAGAGGAUGCACUUGAUGGGCUAAACUGAGGUAAUCAGUUAUGGACAGGACAGAGAGGGAGAUUACUGAGGGGUAAAAAGUGAAAGCAUCUGUAGGGUGAAAAAUGAAAAUAUUGAGGUGGAAAUGAGGAAAUAGGGAGUGGACAGGUAGGGGAAGUAAUGGGAAUAAAUCUUGUGGUAAUCCCCUGAGUAGAGAAACAAUGCUUUCUUGUAAAAAGUGAGGAAAUCAGGAGGGGACAGGGAAUAUUUGUGGGGGAAUGUGAAGUAUUCCCCAGGGAAGAGAAUGAUCAUCAUGAGGUAAACUGAGGUAAUCACUUGUGGACAGGUAAUGAAAAUUUUGGGUAUAGAAAUGGAUAUUUUUUCCAGGAUGGAGAAUUAGUAUUUUGAGAUAAAAAUGAGAUAACUAGUAGUAGACAUGUAGAGAAGACCAUGGGGGUAAAACUUCAAAUAAUCUGUAGAAGUAUUUUUGAGGAAAUAUCUGAUAUAAUUUGUAGGGGACAGGAUGAACAUUUAGUGGAUGAGAUAGACAAAACCUGUGUGGUUUUUGGUUUUAAAAAUAGGUAAUAUAUAGAGGACAAAAUGCUGGGAUUUAGAGAAUUCCAUCCAUUCGGCUGAUGAAAUUUCCCAGCCCAGGGCUUUGGCUGACAGGGCAGCACAAAGAUUGUUCCCUGUGUGGUGCCCAGAUUUGGGGUUCAGCUUUGCUAGUCCAAAUGAAUUAUACCCAGAGCCCUGAAUUCCCUGCUGAAUUCCUGCUGGAAUAACCUCUCGGUGCCUCAUGCAGCAUGGAUAUUCCCACAGAGAGCUGCCUAUUGAACACCAGCUGUGCCAGGAACGAGCAGAGGCUCCAAGGAAGCUCAGUGGGAUCAGGACAAGGGCAGGUUGACAUUCCAUAGCAUUUGCUAUUUAUAACCCUUUGCUAUUUAUUCAUCCCCCAGCCCUACCCAUGUUCCUGGGGGCACCUGACAGAGUUCCCUGGAAUUCAGUGGACUCCACCCCCUGAGCUCGGGCUCCAGCUGAUGUUUCACAGCAGCAGAGGGCGGGGGCCCUGCUGAGGCAGCUCCUGUGCCCAGCGGAGGACAUCUCUCCCUGCAGGAGCUGAGCUCAUUCCAGAGCCUCGGGAGUGGCCUCUGGGAGUUCUUUUCCCUGAGGAAAGGGAGGCACAUCCCUGCCUUCAGGACACUGCAGUGUGACCCACCUGUGCAAGCUUCCCAGCAGUUCUGCAGCUCCAGCUGGCUCCCUGAAAAACUCCAAACUUCAUCCAAACAUUCAUCUAACUCUAACCUUUUGUUUUAAGGCAUCUCCGAGGGCAUUGCUUGGGAUUGAAUUGCUGUGAGGGGAAUUCCCUUGGCUGUAAGGCUGCUGCUGAGGAUGUCCCCAGGCUGGAAGGGAAGGGACUGGGGUGCCUGGGACACACCUGGUGGGUGUGUGGGAGCUCCAGAAGGUGAGCACCGGGAAUUGCUGUCCGAGCUCCUCUGCAAACCCAGCGUGCCGGCACUCCCAGGCCGUGGCAGCUGUUCCUUGGGGGGUUUUUGGGAUGGCAGUGGGCUCUGCCCGAGCUGCAGCAUCUCCGGGGGCCCGUUCAGAGCAGCCCCUGGCCGAGGAGCCGCGGGCAGCCCUCGAUCCGUGUCCAUCCCAGCGCUGCCCGGGCAUCCCAGUGCCCGCCCCGGGCUGUGUUUGGCAGCUGCCUGCCACGGGCAGGGCACUGAGGCACAGCUCCUCCCUGCAGGCACCAAGGACAGGAGGGGCUGGUUCCCUCCCUGGGGCUCAGCCUCCUCCCGCCCCGCGUUCCCGGCCAGCUGGGCCACACGGAGGGAGCACCAGGAACAUUCCUGGCAGGGAGCAGGAGUCCCCGAGGGCUCCGUGCAGCUCCGGGCCCGAGAAGCAGCCCCGGGCUGUGAGCACUCACCUGCAGGAAACGCCCCUCUGCAGGUGGGACCAGCCCUGACACUCUCCAGAACAUUGGCCUUGGACCAAGGGAGCCCUCAGGACUUGUCUUGCUCUUUUCUCCCUGGAAAGGGACUUGGCAUCAGCACCUUUACAGCUAUUUAGGAAAUGCUGGAAAAGGCAGGAAAUCAGGAAUAUGGGAAGAGGUGCCAGCCAGUUCUACCCUAGAGCCAUUCCAGAGGCUGGUGUACAAAGCAGCAUUAGCAAAACACUUGGUGAUUUGCAUAGGAAUUCCCUUGCUGGCAGCAGCCAUUCCCAUUCCAGGCAGGACCUUUCUCGUGACCCUGAUAUAGGCUCAGGUGCUUGGAGCAGGGUGCUGAGAAGGCCAGGAUUCCGAGUUUAAUGCCCACAAAGGCCAGUCACCAGCAAUUGACCUGACGAUCCUCGUGGCUCUUUCCAGUUCAGAAUAUCCUGUGCUCUGGAAAUAAAAACUAAACAGUUUUCACUGGC